ACGAAUCUCAUAGCCUCUCAACUCUCCUGUAUCUAGCGGCGGCGGCGGCCGCCUCCCCCACCAUCGACGCCUCCGCUCCACAGCAACCGCUCCUACGCACUGGCAUCUGCUCCUCGGAAUCAUCGGCUUCAGCUCCCUCGGGUGCAAAACGAAGCGGCAGCACAAGGGCGGCACGGCGGCAUUGACGCGGCGGCGACAGUUGCACAUGAGCAGGUCACCUCCGCUCCCCUGGUCGUCGCUCCCUCAGCGCAGGGCACACCGUGCAGAUUUGAAGAAACAAGGUGUUCAGUGGGGAAGAAUACUUCUAUCAAGAUUAUCAUAGUACUGUAUUAGGUAUUUUAGUUAGUAUUCAGAAAAUCUUAUGAGAUGUCGAGUUGAACUGCUGCAUGAAGGAACCUGAGAUCAGGUUACUGCCCUUAUCCAGUUUUUGUUUUAUCCGGAGCUAUCUCUACGAUUUUGACUGACUCACGUCUUCAUGGGAUCAAGCACUUGUAGCUGUUAGUUAGCUUUUCUGUUGCAGUGACAUCUAAAAGUAAGUAUAUGAGAUUGUAUUAAUACAACUUGCGUUGAGCAAUUCUAAUCUCCUUUGCUGCGGAGCA
This is a long non-coding RNA of Panicum virgatum (switchgrass), 599 nucleotides long. RefSeq lists it as uncharacterized. The record is from RefSeq and is a predicted model, not a curated record. Lineage: Eukaryota; Viridiplantae; Streptophyta; Magnoliopsida; Poales; Poaceae. The transcript is spliced from 2 exons.